GAUUUACUGUGGAAGUGAGUUAGCUUGAUUUACUCUUUUGCUAAUUAAGUGCAUUGGAAAUUAUGCCUUUUAGCAUGCAAAAUUCCCAGAUUAAUGGUGCAAAGGGAGGGCUGCUGUGGAACUGGAUAGUAGAAAAGAUACAAGUAUUUAUUUGUAUGCAAUACCUAGACCUGGUGUAUCAUACCAUUCUCUAUUCAUGCAUAUGGGUGACACAACACGACACCAUGUAUCACAGUUUUGGCAACUUGUAUUGGAGUCAUCAUUUCCAUACUGAUUGCAAAGAAAUGCAAUGUAAUUAUGAGUGAUGACGGUUUGUGAUACAUAGUUUAUUUGGUUGUACAAUGAAAGUUGACUAAUUCGUAUAUUAAAUCAUAAGAGAUAUGGAAGUACAAAGUUUGUAUUGCAAAUUGGUGACUGUAUGUUUAUAUUGCAGGAGUUCAGCUG
Molecule: unclassified non-coding RNA, 444 nt
Filed under: Hevea brasiliensis (rubber tree)
Lineage: Eukaryota; Viridiplantae; Streptophyta; Magnoliopsida; Malpighiales; Euphorbiaceae
Source: RNAcentral